AAAAAAUGUUUUAAGAAUAUUCCUGUGCAAUUUCCGCCUAGGUCUUUUGUACCCAUUUAUUGUUUCGUCUAUUGGAUAUGCGCUUUAUGGCAGACACUGCACUAGGUGCUGAGGACGCUGCAGUAAAUAGGAGAAAACCACCCUAGCUUUCAUUUGCUUUCACAGAGGGCCAAAUGCCAUGGAGGAAGUAAGAGAGCAGGUAACAAGAUGCAGAGCAAUCGGCGACUGAGGAACUUGUUUGUGGAGUGGUCUGUGAAGACCUUUGGAGGGAGUUGUAUCCCCGUGCAGUGGGGUAGGAUUUAGAUGCAAAACGUAGAAGGAAAUGGUGAUUGUUAAAGUAAUUGAAA
This 347-nucleotide long non-coding RNA is filed under the name Rhinopithecus bieti (black snub-nosed monkey). RNAcentral describes it as "lncRNA (ENSRBIG00000045758.1)". The record is from RNAcentral. Lineage: Eukaryota; Metazoa; Chordata; Mammalia; Primates; Cercopithecidae.